This 200-nucleotide ribosomal RNA is filed under the name uncultured bacterium. RNAcentral describes it as "partial 16S ribosomal RNA". It matches the Rfam family "Bacterial small subunit ribosomal RNA", at positions 524 to 724 of the family's 1533-position model. The record is from RNAcentral.
CACUACUGUGCGAACGUUAUUCGGAAUCACUGGGCUUAAAGGGUGCGUAGGCGGUUUAGUAAGUAGGGUGUGAAAUGCCAGGGCUCAACCCUGGCACUGCGCUCUAAACUGUUAAACUUGAGUGAGAUAGGGGUGUACGGAACUUCCGGUGGAGCGGUGAAAUGCGUUGAUAUCGGAAGGAACACCGGUGGCGAAAGCGG